Molecule: ribosomal RNA, 254 nt
Filed under: uncultured bacterium
Lineage: Bacteria
Description: partial 16S ribosomal RNA
Rfam family: Bacterial small subunit ribosomal RNA
Source: RNAcentral
AAGCGAGGCCGUGAGGCGGAGCAAAUCCCAAAAAUAACGUCUCAGUUCGGAUUGUAGUCUGCAACUCGACUACAUGAAGCUGGAAUCGCUAGUAAUCGCGAAUCAGAAUGUCGCGGUGAAUACGUUCCCGGGUCUUGUACACACCGCCCGUCACACCAUGGGAGUCGGAAAUGCCCGAAGUCCGUAGCCUGACCGCAAGGGGGGCGCGGCCGAAGGUGGGUUCGAUAAUUGGGGUGAAGUCGUAACAAGGUAAC